AAAGUCGUAACAAGGUCUCCGUUGGUGAACCAGCGGAGGGAUCAUUAUUAAAAACAGACCGCACUGGCGUGGCUCUGCUAACCCCGCGAACCUGAUACCUUCAACGCGAUGCCUCGGCGCGCUGGCCCCCCUAGAGAUGGGGGGAGGCGGCCGCCGGCGGCAGGCGCGCAGAACAACACGCUCACGGCGCACUGCUCUCCAUCUGAACGUAAUGAUUAUAAACGAGUAAAAACUUUUGGCAACGGAUCUCUUGGCUCUG
This 259-nucleotide unclassified non-coding RNA is filed under the name Ascomycota sp. RNAcentral describes it as "partial contains small subunit ribosomal RNA, internal transcribed spacer 1, and 5.8S ribosomal RNA". The stretch from base 1 to 47 matches the Rfam family "Eukaryotic small subunit ribosomal RNA", at positions 1785 to 1831 of the family's 1831-position model. Lineage: Eukaryota; Fungi; Ascomycota. The record is from RNAcentral.